This 463-nucleotide ribosomal RNA is filed under the name uncultured Allobrachymonas sp. RNAcentral's name for it is "bacterial SSU rRNA". It matches the Rfam family "Bacterial small subunit ribosomal RNA", at positions 910 to 1382 of the family's 1533-position model. Lineage: Bacteria; Pseudomonadati; Pseudomonadota; Betaproteobacteria; Burkholderiales; Comamonadaceae. The record is from RNAcentral.
UUGACGGGACCGCACAAGCGGUGGAUGAUGUGGUUAAUUCGAUGCAACGCGAAAACCUUACCACCUUUGACAUGGCAGGAAUCCUGAAGAGAUUUGGGAGUGCUCGAAAGAGAACCUGCACACAGGUGCUGCAUGGCUGUCGUCAGCUCGUGUCGUGAGAUGUUGGGCUAAGUCCCGCAACGAGCGCAACCCUUGCCAUUAGUUGCUACGAAAGGGCACUCUAAUGGGACUGCCGGUGACAAACCGGAGGAAGGUGGGGAUGACGUCAAGUCCUCAUGGCCCUUAUAGGUGGGGCUACACACGUCAUACAAUGGCCGGUACAGAGGGUAGCCAACCCGCGAGGGGGAGCCAAUCCCACAAAGCCGGUCGUAGUCCGGAUCGCAGUCUGCAACUCGACUGCGUGAAGUCGGAAUCGCUAGUAAUCGCGGAUCAGCAUGUCGCGGUGAAUACGUUCCCGGGUCUU